GUAGGUGAACCUGCGGAAGGAUCAUUAACACUGAAUCUAACAAAUCCCCUUAAAAGGAUUUAUUCUACCCACUUUUUUGGACGAAUUUAAAAAAAAAGAAAAGAUCGAGGAAAAAAAAGUAUGUUCGCAUAUUUUUUCUUCUUUUUCUUUUUUUCUUUCUUUUUCCUAUUUUUUUUAACCCCAACCCUUUUAAUGCUAUACAAUAGACUGACAUGACAAAGAGUUUUCAUUGAACUUUUUGUUUUACAAAAAAUUCUAAAAACAACUCUUAACAACGGAUAUCUUGGCUCUC
RNAcentral lists this unclassified non-coding RNA (292 nucleotides) under rhizosphere metagenome. RNAcentral describes it as "partial ribosomal RNA internal transcribed spacer region". The record is from RNAcentral.